This 202-nucleotide long non-coding RNA is filed under the name Elaeis guineensis (African oil palm). Its description in RNAcentral is "long non-coding RNA (EGUI_LNC049358)". The record is from RNAcentral. Lineage: Eukaryota; Viridiplantae; Streptophyta; Magnoliopsida; Arecales; Arecaceae.
CAUCCAAAUAAAAAUAAAUAAAUAAAUAAAAUAUAAUGGAGACCAUCGAAACUCAAUAGACUGGCGGUUCUCCUUGAUUGCCGGUGGCUGCCAUCAAGGAGACGACGACGGCCCACCGAUCAGCUAGUUUCUGACCACUGUUGGCCGGAUUUUGUAGAGAAAAGCAUCGAUUUUGGCCUCUCCUCUUUCCACUGCCCAUCGC